GAUGAACGCUGGCGGCGUGCUUAACACAUGCAAGUCGAACGGGAAAUAUUUCAUUGAGACUUCGGUGGAUUUGAUUUAUUUCUAGUGGCGGACGGGUGAGUAACGCGUGGGUAACCUACCUUAUACAGGGGGAUAACAGUCAGAAAUGGCUGCUAAUACCGCAUAAGCGCACAGAGCUGCAUGGCUCAGUGCGAAAAACUCCGGUGGUAUAAGAUGGACCCGCGUUGGAUUAGCUUGUUGGUGAGGUAACGGCCCACCAAGGCGACGAUCCAUAGCCGGCCUGAGAGGGUGAACGGCCACAUUGGGACUGAGACACGGCCCAGACUCCUACGGGAGGCAGCAGUGGGGAAUAUUGCACAAUGGGGGAAACCCUGAUGCAGCGACGCCGCGUGAAGGAAGAAGUAUCUCGGUAUGUAAACUUCUAUCAGCAGGGAAGAUAGUGACGGUACCUGACUAAGAAGCCCCGGCUAACUACGUGCCAGCAGCCGCCGUAA
RNAcentral lists this ribosomal RNA (494 nucleotides) under uncultured bacterium. Its description in RNAcentral is "partial 16S ribosomal RNA". It matches the Rfam family "Bacterial small subunit ribosomal RNA", at positions 28 to 523 of the family's 1533-position model. The record is from RNAcentral.